RNAcentral lists this ribosomal RNA (468 nucleotides) under uncultured bacterium. Its description in RNAcentral is "partial 16S ribosomal RNA". It matches the Rfam family "Bacterial small subunit ribosomal RNA", at positions 28 to 507 of the family's 1533-position model. The record is from RNAcentral.
GACGAACGCUGGCGGCGUGCUUAACACAUGCAAGUCGAACGGAAAGGCCCUGCUUUUGUGGGGUGCUCGAGUGGCGAACGCGUGAGUAACACGUGAGUAACCUGCCCUUGACUUUCGUAUAACUUCAGGAAACUGGGGCUAAUCCCGUAUCGGAUCUCCUGCUGCAUUGUGGGCGUUGGAUCUUCUCGGCGGUUGGGGUUGGACUCGCGGCUUAUCAGCUUGUUGGUGGGGUAGUGGCUUACCAAGGCUUUGACGGGUAGCCGGCCUGAGAGGGUGACCGGCCACAUUGGGACUGAGGUACGGCCCAGAGUCCAACAGGAGGCAGCAGGGGGGAAUAUUGCACAAUGGGCGGAAGCCUGAUGCAGCAACGCCGCGUGCGGGAUGACGGCCUUCGGGUUGUAAACCGCUUUCGCCUGUGACGAAGCGUGAGUGACGGUAAUGAGUAAAGAAGCACCGGCUAACUACGUG